GGUUCUAUAGUGUAGCGGUUAGCACAUCUGCUUUACACGCAGAAGGUCCUGGGUUUGCGCCCCAGUAGAGCCA
Molecule: non-coding RNA, 73 nt
Organism: Pteropus alecto (black flying fox)
Lineage: Eukaryota; Metazoa; Chordata; Mammalia; Chiroptera; Pteropodidae
Source: Rfam